UUAGCCCUUUGUAGUUUUCUAAGUUUCAAAGCCCUUAACCCAUUUUCCCUCAACUGAUUUUAGGUGUGCUUUGGCAAUUUUUGGGACUGUGGUCUUCGGCUAUUGUAGAAGAUCAGUUCGACAGCUGCCUUUGAGGCUAAAAUCUCAAUUUUUUUGGGACUUCUAGUUGCAUCAUCUGUCUAAUUUAAGAUCUAAUUUCGUUCAGUUUUAAGAAGUAGGUUCUUAACAGGUCCUUUGGCGGUUGUUAGCGGCGGCAGUUGGCGACUAACCAUUAAAAAAAGGUUUCAUUUAUUAAAAACCCUUACAUUUCUGCUGCAAAGAGGAGCCGCACAACCAGCCGCACAAUGGACCAGCCGCACAAAGGUUCUCUUGGCACCUGCUCCAUCUCCGGCGACGUGAACUAUUUUCGGUACCGACUGCGUUAUUUCCGACGGCGCCAAGCCUAGAGGACAACGGCAGCAUUUGUAUCCUCCAUUUUCAGCGGCACCAAGUGGGAGAGAUUCAGACACCAAUAGGUGUUGCAAUGGUUGAGUUCAUAGACCCAAGAGAGCCUGUAGCGGUUAUUCCAAUAUUAGGAGCUGGUCUAGCUCUAGCAGAGCAUGCAUCAUCAAUUUUGCCAGCAACAAAAACAUAUCAUCUAGGGAUGGUCAGAAACGAGGAGACACUUCAACCAUCAAUAUAUCUUAACAAGUGGCACAAUAGUGGCAGCUCUCAAACCUGAUAAAGAAAUGUGGGGUUGAGAACAUUCAAAUUAAAGUGGUAAUAUAUCUACAACUUAUUCUUCACUAUUUCUGUCAAUUUUAUUUCAUAGUUAAUGGAGUUGGAAAUGAGUUUGUAUAUGAACUCUCUGAAAAUAUCUUAAUCUUGAACUUUCGUUGCUUUACAUAUAAAGUAGUGGUGAAAUUGAUGAAGGGAGGAACAAAUUAAAUAAAUUAAUUAAUAAAGUGGGAACAAGAACACUAAUAACGUUGAAAAUCUCAACCAACCUUUGGAGGUACAGACUGCAAAGACAUUUAUAUACACCAACUGUUUUGUUUUUUUAUCAAUAAUUCCUUCUUAAUAUUCUUUUUGGACCCUGCUGUUUAUAUGUAUUUAGACAUGCAUAGUUUUAUGGCUUUAUGUUAGUGCUUAAAAUUCAGCAGCUGCAUUUUGACUUAGAGUAAAACACUUUUAUAUGGACGUGAAUGUGCAUUAACUAUAUGUGUUUUUAGAGUCUAGUAUGAUCCAUAUACAAUGCGCAUUAACUAAAUUCAAGGUUAGUAUACCUUUCUCAUGCAAAAUAACAUUCAUUUAUAUGCACAUUACUUUUGAUUUUGUCAUUUAUGGAUGUAUAUUUUGGUAAAUAACUGUGUUUCAAUUUGGAUUUUGAGUUGCACUUACACUUAGUGUAUUGCCUUGAUACUUUGUAUUUUCUUUGUCUUGUUCUAGUUUGAAAAUUUUAAUUUAUUGAUUUUGUUUUGAUAUAAAGUAUUAGAGAGAUAAAAUUAGUUCAUUGAAACUAUCGA
This is a long non-coding RNA of Humulus lupulus (European hop), 1505 nucleotides long. RefSeq lists it as uncharacterized. The transcript has 5 exons. NCBI's taxonomy places the organism in Eukaryota, Viridiplantae, Streptophyta, Magnoliopsida, Rosales, Cannabaceae. The record is from RefSeq and is a predicted model, not a curated record.